AAUCAUGCCCUCUCAGCCCAACCAACCUCACAGGACUGUUGUGGUGAAAAUAGGAAGGAAAAGGUAACUUGGACUUUGAGGAAUUGAGGCCUUUGAACUAUGGUGCUGGAGAAGACUCCUGUGAGUCCCUUGGACUGCAAAGUGAACAAACAAGUCAGUCCUAGAGGAAAUCAACCCUGCUCUUUAGAAGGACGGAUCCUGAAGAUGAAACUCAAAUAUUUGGCCACCUAUUGAGAAGGAAGGACUCACUGGAGAAGAACCUAAUGCUGGGAAAGAUUGAGGGCAAAAGAAGAAGGGGCCGACAGAGAAUGAGGUGGCUGGAUGGAGUCACUGAAGCAGUAGGUGUGAGUUUAAAUGGAUUCCAGAGGAUGGCAGAGGACAGGAAGGCCUGGAGGAAUGCAGUCCAUAGGGUCGCGAUGGGUCGGACACGACUUCGGAACUAACAACAACAAACUUGGACAAUCUUGAAGAAAGAUAAGGAAUUUUUGAAAUUUGAAUGGACAAGUAUAUUCAUUUCUAUUUAAGCAUGCUCACAUAUGUUUUAGGACAAGUUCCAAAAUCAAACCUCAGUUCUGUUUUUUAACAUCAGAAGGAAGGGUAAUAUUUGAACUAUUUAUUUUGAGGUACAUAAAUCGUAUAAAAUAGCAUUUCAUUCAGUU
Molecule: non-coding RNA, 659 nt
Organism: Pantherophis guttatus
Lineage: Eukaryota; Metazoa; Chordata; Lepidosauria; Squamata; Colubridae
Source: RefSeq, a predicted model, not a curated record